This 925-nucleotide ribosomal RNA is filed under the name Symbiodinium sp. Mp. RNAcentral's name for it is "partial Bacterial large subunit ribosomal RNA". It matches the Rfam family "Bacterial large subunit ribosomal RNA", at positions 1972 to 2912 of the family's 2925-position model. Lineage: Eukaryota; Dinophyceae; Suessiales; Symbiodiniaceae. The record is from RNAcentral.
UCGGGUAAGUUCCGACCUGCACGAAUGGCGUAACGACUUCCCCACUGUCUCCAACAGAGACUCAGCGAAAUUGAAUUCUCCGUGAAGAUGCGGAGUACCCGCGGUCAGACGGAAAGACCCCGUGCACCUUUACUACAGCUUCACACUGGUAUUCGUAAUGACAUGUGUAGGAUAGGUGGUAGACGUUGAAGCAUUUGCGCCAGCAGAUGUGGAGUCAUCCUUGAAAUACCACCCUUGUCCUUAUGGAUAUCUAACCGCGGCGCAACAACGUCCGGGACCGUGUGUGGCGGGUAGUUUGACUGGGGCGGUCGCCUCCUAAAGAGUAACGGAGGCUCGCAAAGGUACCCUCAGCAUGGUUGGUAAUCAUGCGAAGAGCGUAUGAGUAUAAGGGUGCUUGACUGGGAGAUCGACAGAUCGAUCAGGUGCGAAAGCAGGCUUAAGUGAUCCGGUGGUUCCGCAUGGAAGGGCCAUCGCUCAAAGGAUAAAAGGUACUCCGGGGAUAACAGGCUGAUCUCCCCCAAGAGCUCAUAUCGACGGGGAGGUUUGGCACCUCGAUGUCGGCUCGUCACAUCCUGGGGCUGGAGAAGGUCCCAAGGGUUGGGCUGUUCGCCCAUUAAAGUGGCACGCGAGCUGGGUUCAGAACGUCGCAAGACAGUUCGGUCUCUAUCUGUUGUGGGCGUAGGAAUAUUGAAGAGAUCUGUCUCCAGUACGAGAGGACCGGGAUGGACGCACCUCUAGUGUACCUGUUGUGGCGCCAGCUGCAUUGCAGGGUAGCUAUGUGCGGAAUGGAUAAGCGCUGAAAGCAUCUAAGCACGAAGCCAACUCUAAGAUGAGUAUUCCAUGAGGGUCGUAGAAGAUGACUACGUUGAUAGGCUAUAGGUGGAAGUGCAGUAAUGUAUGGAGCCGAGUAGUACUAAUUACCCGA